This 4653-nucleotide long non-coding RNA is filed under the name Arabidopsis thaliana (thale cress). RNAcentral's name for it is "long non-coding RNA (ATHA_LNC000132)". The record is from RNAcentral. Lineage: Eukaryota; Viridiplantae; Streptophyta; Magnoliopsida; Brassicales; Brassicaceae.
CAAAUAACACAUUCCUUACUCCAAUUUCGAAUAUGUAACUAGCUUCCACUAAAUGUUGCUAAUAUAUGAUUUUUGGCUGGAAAAAAAAAGAACAGAUCAAUGUAUGUGAUCACAGGAUACAUAGGCAUCGAAUACAGCAGCCCAACCUUAGCCUCCGCCAUAAACAAUAUCACUCCUGCUCUUACCUUCAUCCUCGCCAUUAUCUUCAGGUUUUUGUUUUCUUUGACUAAUUAUUAAGUUUUUGCUGAUUUCAAUUUUAGUUUUUCGGAUUAUUCUAGUCAACAAGUCGAAAUUGUAACCAUUCCAUUUCCGGCUAAUUUAAUUUUAAUAAUUAUAAUAGUUUUUUAUGUUAACCGAAAUUAAUUAAACUCAAAAGAACUAAUCCCGAAAGAUAUUGUUUACAUAUGUGAUGAAGCCGUUCGCUAUGAAUUUUUCGUGCAUUAUAAUAAAGUUCUUUAGAAUAAUUACUUCAAAGUUCCCCUAUAAUUUUUUCAAUUCGACUAUUUUUUUUUCCAUAAAUCAUGUUAGUUUUCACUUCACUAUAUUCAACACUAUAGUUUGCUAACCAAUUCUUUACCACUAGCCGCCUUACCCCUAUCCCACAACUGUCUCAUACUCUUAUCAGUAACUAGGUAAAUAAUCUAUAUUUAUGGUAAAUGCGUUUAAUAUGUUCUUCUUUCUUUCUUUCAAUGCAUACAUUAAUUCAGGUUUUCGGCAUCUAUAUUUAUGGCAAUUGAUAUGAAGAUUUAAGUUACUAUCGCACUAUUGCUCAAUCUUGUGGUCCAAAUCAUACAAGGCUGUUUGCAUGAAUGAAAUAAAUGCGUAUUAAUUGUGUUUGAUCAUUGAUUAUUUCUUAGCCUUCUUUUGGAAUAAACACUUAACACACUAAAUUUCAUUUUGUGAAUAAAGAAUGGAAAAAGUAUCUUUCAAAGAGAGGAGUAGUCUAGCCAAAUUGAUGGGGACGAUAUUGUCACUGAUAGGUGCACUUGUGGUGAUUUUCUACCACGGUCCACGUGUCUUCCUCGCAUCUUCUCCGCCCUAUGUAAACUUCCGUCAGUUUUCUCCACCGUUGUCAUCUUCAAACUCCGAUUGGCUCAUCGGUGGAGCUCUUCUAACCAUGCAAGGCAUAUUCGUUUCUGUUUCUUUCAUUCUUCAGGUACCAAUUUUUUUUCCUUAUAUAUAGUAGAAAUAAUUUUAAAUUUAUGGUUAAGUCAAAAAUUAGUCAUUAAAAAAGGUGGAAACAUACGAACACAUGGUUUAGAGUAGACCUAGGCGUUCAGAUAUUUGGUUCGGUUCUAGUUCGGUUCCAAUUCUUUCGGCUCUCGAGUUUAGGAUUCAUAUAGGAACUAAAACAGUUUUGGUUUGGUUUGGGUUCGGGUUCGGUUUUUUCGGUUCUGAAGUUUAAUUAGGACCCAUUCGGAUAUUUAUUUCAGAUAUUUUUUAGUAUUUUCGGAUAUUUUCGAGUAUUUUUGGAUAUUUUGGUAUUUUUAUAUAUUUUUCAACUAUAUUUUCGGUAUUUUUGAAUGUUCAAUCUAAAAAUAACUAAUAUUUUUGGAUAUAUAAUCAUAUUUAGAUAUUCUCGGAUACCCGAAAUAUUUCAGUUCGGUUCGGGUUCGGUUCCAAUUAUUUUGGUUCUAGAAUUUAGGAUUCAUUUGAGUAUUUUACCAUUUUGGUUUGGCUUCGGAUUCGGUUCUUUUUGCUUUGGUUCCAGUUCGUUUUUUUUUGGUUCGGGUAUUAUGCCCAUGCAUAGAGGGGUGAACUUUGGUUUUUGGUUGGAGAUGAUGUUAUAAUACAUGUGGGAAAACACAUAUCUUCAUUUAGUAAACAUCAUUUCAUUCUAAUAUUUAUUCUAUAUAAUGAUUUUUGGACAGGCACAUAUAAUGAGUGUAUAUCCAGCAGCAUUCAGAGUCUCCUUUCUUUACACUGUAUGUGUUUCAAUCGUGACCUCGACGAUUGGACUAGUAGUUGAAAAGAACAACCCAAGCGUUUGGAUCAUUCAUUUCGAUAUUACUUUGAUUACAAUUGUUACCAUGGUAUGUUAUAUAUAUAUAUAUAUUUUAAAGAUAUCAAAAUAUCUACUUUUUGAUCUUAACACUUUUUUAAAAAUAAAAUAUUUCAGGCAAUAGUAACUUCAGUAUACUAUGUGAUUCAUUCAUGGACAGUACGACAUAAAGGACCUCUGUACUUAGCCAUAUUUAAACCUUUGUCCAUUUUAAUAGCAGUGGUUAUGGGGGCCAUUUUUCUCAAUGAUUCUCUCUAUCUCGGAUGGUAUUAAUGAAUCAAUAGUCUUCAUAAACAUAUCUAUAAACAAAAACAUCUACUCACCUUCGAUUUUGUCCUUCGUUUUGCAGUUUGAUCGGAGGAAUUUUGAUAACAUUAGGCUUUUACGCUGUGAUGUGGGGCAAAGCAAACGAAGAGAAGGAUCAGUUAUCAUUUUCAGAAAAAGAGAAAACGCCUCUUCUAUUAAACCGCAAAAACGACCAAGUUUAAAAAGAAAAAGAAUAUAGACAAUAAAACUACUAAUAGUUAACAAAUACUGUUAUUAAUACCAUAUUUAUAAAAUUGUCUUAUGUCUCUAUGAACCUAGGAGUUGGAAAAAAAUGUGUGUAUUUAGAUUUUUUUUUCAAAAUACUCCAACAUUUAUAAAUACGAGUUAACAUUUUUCCUUGACUCCUUUGGAACAUAUGAAAAGCUUAAAUUGAUAUUCUUUGAAGCAAUGAUAGGUAACUGCACCAAGUAUAUAUCCCGGUAUAGUCACACAUCCCAAGUUUAGUGAACUACACGAAUUAUGUGUAUUGUAUGCUAAUGUAUACCAAUUAGUAACAUAUGAUCAACACCAUCAUAUUCCUUUUACACCGUUUGUCAAAUCCAUUUUUAAAACCACUUUUGGUGAAUUACGCCGUAGAAAAACAAGUCUAACACAUUGUAACAUUUUGAAGUGGUAAUAAAAUUUCUGAUUCAAGGUUUCAAUAUCUAUAAUUAUUGAAGUGGUUUCAAUAUCCAUUAUUGGAUGAUCAUAUUUUGGCACAACUGUUUUCAAGUCUGCGCAAAGAAUAGGGAAUCUUAUAAUAAAUUCAAGAAACAACAAUUAUUGGACCCACAAUACACCACUUCCCCUCUAACUAGUACUAUCAUAAAUGAAAAGCAAACAAAUUAAGCGAUAACAAAUCAAAGACUCACAUUUCAACACCAAACCUUUCUACCAUUUCCAAUGGCCGGAGCAGUAAGCCUUUGGCGGAGAGAGGCCGUGUUCUUGACGGCGAUGCUGGCAGGCGAAACCAGCAUCGUCGGACUAAGUACUCUGUUUAAGGUAGCAACUUCAAAGGGACUCAACAUUUACCCUUUCCUCAGCUAUUCUUAUCUUCUUGCUUCUCUUCUCCUUCUUCCUUCUCUGUUCUUCACCAACAGGUUCAAAUAACUUUAAUCUUUCUAUGACCAUUCUUUUGUAUAGAUUUUUAUUUAAUUUGUAUGUUUUAAUACAGGUCAAGAUCACUUCCUCCACUAAGUGCCUCAAUACUCUCUAAGAUUGGACUUCUUGGCUUUCUAGGGUAAUAUCCAAAUACAACAUUCCUUCUUCCAAUAUUUUUUAUGAAAUUAUCAUCCACUAAACUGUUGCUAAUAUAUGAUCUUUGGCUGAAAAAAAUUCAAAACAAAAAAAGAACAGAUCAAUGUAUGUUAUUACAGGAGGCAUAGGCAUCGAAUACAGCAACCCAACCUUAGCCUCCGCCAUAGGCAAUAUUGUUCCUGCUCUUACCUUCAUCCUCGCUGUUAUCUUCAGGUUUUAUUUUAAUUCAUUUUCCUAAAAGUUUUGCAGAUUAAUGUCUAACCAUCGAGUCGACAUUCUAACAAAGUUUCUGGCAUAAUUAGGUUAUUAGGCAACUUAAAUUGGAAGUAGUUUCUUUAAAUCAGUCACUUCAAAUUAACUUGUCCGAUGGUUUUAAUUCAGUUCAACGCAUUAUGUUGCUAACCAAUGCUUUUUUGCUAUCAGCCGUCUUACUUAAUAUAGAACUUAUGUUGCUAACCAAUACUUUUUGCUAUCAGCCGUCUUACUUAAUAUAGAACUUGAACUUUUUUUUCUACCAGAUGUACAUUUUCAAAUAUAUUUAUUUGGACCAUUUAAGAUAUACUAAUAAUAUAUCUAUGCGAGCAAAACGAACACUGUUAAUUUUAUCCGGGAAAUUAAAGACAAUAGAUUCAAGAAAGCGGAAUUUCUUAGUGGUCAAGAUAAGCUCAAAGAUCACUUCUAACUAGCUUGAGUAGCAAGUUCGGGUUUGUUGUAGAGUAAACUUAAGCCUAGGGUUCUUGAGUAGAGAAUUGUGGACCCUUUGGUUGGCCUAGCUCCCUAUUUAUACCUUCAGGGUGUCGGUUCUUCGAUAUGGCAUGUUUCCAUCAUCUUCGGAGGAGAAUAUUUCCAUUGUCCGAUUUGUUACUUUUUGUGUAGAUUCGAGUUUACCUUUCAAGAUUUUCCUCUCUAGCUAGUACCUAGGUCGGUCUCCGAGGUAAUCGAGGUCGAGCUAGUCAGGCUUAGGCCUCCAAAUCAGAUUCGCUAUUGGACCAAGUAGUUCAAAAUACUGAAUGGUUUAUUCUUGUUUAAAAUCAGGUUAAGUACUGGAUAGAGCUAAUUAAAUCACUCUCCUACAAUAUCCAAUGCGC